AGUGAACGCUGGCGGUAGGCCUAACACAUGCAAGUCGAACGGCAGCACAGUAAGAGCUUGCUCUUACGGGUGGCGAGUGGCGGACGGGUGAGGAAUACAUCGGAAUCUACUUUUUCGUGGGGGAUAACGUAGGGAAACUUACGCUAAUACCGCAUACGACCUACGGGUGAAAGCAGGGGAUCUUCGGACCUUGCGCGAUUGAAUUAGCCGAUGUCGGAUUAGCUAGUUGGCGGGGUAAAGGCCCACCAAGGCGACGAUCCGUAGCUGGUCUGAGAGGAUGAUCAGCCAAACUGGAACUGAGACACGGACCAGACUCCUACGAGAGGCCGCAGUGGGGAAUAUUGGACAAUGGGCGCAAGCCUGAACCAGCCAUACCGCGUGGGUGAAGAAGGCCUUCGGGUUGUAAAGCCCUUUUGUUGGGAAAGAAAAGCAGCAGGUUAAUACCCCGCUGUUCUGACGGUACCCAAAGAAUAAGCAGCGGCUAACUACGU
RNAcentral lists this ribosomal RNA (491 nucleotides) under uncultured bacterium. Its description in RNAcentral is "partial 16S ribosomal RNA". It matches the Rfam family "Bacterial small subunit ribosomal RNA", at positions 29 to 506 of the family's 1533-position model. The record is from RNAcentral.